UCGGGAAUUUUGGGCAAUGGGCGAAAGCCUGACGCAGCCAUGCCGCGUGAAUGAUGAAGGUCUUAGGAUUGUAAAAUUCUUUCACCGGGGACGAUAAUGACGGUACCCGGAGAAGAAGCCCCGGCUAACUUCGUGCCAGCAGCCGCGGUAAUACGAAGGGGGCUAGCGUUGCUCGGAAUUACUGGGCGUAAAGGGAGCGUAGGCGGAUAGUUUAGUCAGAGGUGAAAGCCCAGGGCUCAACCUUGGAAUUGCCUUUGAUACUGGCUAUCUUGAGUAUGGAAGAGGUAUGUGGAACUCCGAGUGUAGAGGUGAAAUUCGUAGAUAUUCGGAAGAACACCAGUGGCGAAGGCGACAUACUGGUCCAUUACUGACGCUGAGGCUCGAAAGCGUGGGGAGCAAACAGGAUUAGAUACCCUUGUAGUCCCUGAGCGGGCUGGCAAGGCGCAU
RNAcentral lists this ribosomal RNA (447 nucleotides) under uncultured bacterium. RNAcentral describes it as "bacterial SSU rRNA". It matches the Rfam family "Bacterial small subunit ribosomal RNA", at positions 355 to 825 of the family's 1533-position model. The record is from RNAcentral.